RNAcentral lists this ribosomal RNA (499 nucleotides) under uncultured bacterium. RNAcentral describes it as "bacterial SSU rRNA". It matches the Rfam family "Bacterial small subunit ribosomal RNA", at positions 28 to 511 of the family's 1533-position model. The record is from RNAcentral.
GAUGAACGCUAGCUACAGGCUUAACACAUGCAAGUCGAGGGGAAACGAUAUUGGAAGCUUGCUUCUGAUAGGCGUCGACCGGCGCACGGGUGAGUAACGCGUAUCCAACCUGCCCAUCACUUGGGGAUAACCUUGCGAAAGUAAGACUAAUACCCAAUGACGUCUCUAGAAGACAUCUGAAAGAGAUUAAAGAUUUAUCGGUGAUGGAUGGGGAUGCGUCUGAUUAGCUUGUUGGCGGGGUAACGGCCCACCAAGGCGACGAUCAGUAGGGGUUCUGAGAGGAAAGGUCCCCCCACAUUGGAACUGAGACACGGUCCAAAACUCCUACGGGAGGCAGCAGUGAGGAAUAUUGGUCAAUGGACGAGAGUCUGAACCAGCCAAGUAGCGUGCAGGAUGACGGCCCUAAUGGGUUGUAAACUGCUUUUAUAAGGGAAUAAAGUGAGUCUCGUGAGACUUUUUGCAUGUACCUUAUGAAUAGGACCGGCUAAUUCCGUGCCAG